CAGUCGCCACGGGAAAACGAGGGGGGCAAGCGUUGUUCGGAAUUAUUGGGCGUAAAGGGUGCGUAGGCGGUUUGGCAAGUCUUAUGUGAAAUCUUCGGGCUCAACCCGAAGUCUGCAUGAGAAACUGCCGGGCUUGAGUAUGGGAGAGGUGAGUGGAAUUUCCGGUGUAGCGGUGAAACGCGUAGAUAUCGGAAGGAACACCGAUUGCGAAGGCAGCUUACUAAAGUGCGAUUGACGCUGAGGCACGAAAGCGUGGGGAUCAAACAGGAUUAGAUACCCCUGUAGUCCCUGUCUCUUAUAA
Molecule: ribosomal RNA, 301 nt
Filed under: uncultured bacterium
Lineage: Bacteria
Description: partial 16S ribosomal RNA
Rfam family: Bacterial small subunit ribosomal RNA
Source: RNAcentral